This 327-nucleotide ribosomal RNA is filed under the name Firmicutes bacterium FA1. Its description in RNAcentral is "bacterial SSU rRNA". It matches the Rfam family "Bacterial small subunit ribosomal RNA", at positions 41 to 350 of the family's 1533-position model. Lineage: Bacteria; Bacillati; Bacillota. The record is from RNAcentral.
GCUCGGCUGGCGUGCCUAAUACAUGCAAGUCGAGCGGAAGUUGGAGAGCUUGCUCUUCAACUUUAGCGGCGGACGGGUGAGUAACACGUGGGCAACCUGCCCUGCAGAUCGGGAUAACUCCGGGAAACCGGUGCUAAUACCGAAUAGUUUUCGCCACCUCCUGGUGGCGUACGGAAAGACGGUUUCGGCUGUCACUGCAGGAUGGGCCCGCGGCGCAUUAGCUAGUUGGUGGGGUAACGGCCCACCAAGGCAACGAUGCGUAGCCGACCUGAGAGGGUGAUCGGCCACACUGGGACUGAGACACGGCCCAGACUCCUACGGGAGGCA